UACGAAGGGGGCUAGCGUUGUUCGGAUUUACUGGGCGUAAAGCGCACGUAGGCGGAUCGUUAAGUCGGGGGUGAAAUCCUGGAGCUCAACUCCAGAACUGCCUUCGAUACUGAGAGUCUCGAGUCCGGGAGAGGUGAGUGGAACUGCGAGUGUAGAGGUGAAAUUCGUAGAUAUUCGCAAGAACACCAGUGGCGAAGGCGGCUCACUGGCCCGGUACUGACGCUGAGGUGCGAAAGCGUGGGGAGCAAACAGG
RNAcentral lists this ribosomal RNA (253 nucleotides) under uncultured bacterium. RNAcentral describes it as "partial 16S ribosomal RNA". It matches the Rfam family "Bacterial small subunit ribosomal RNA", at positions 524 to 776 of the family's 1533-position model. The record is from RNAcentral.